RNAcentral lists this ribosomal RNA (253 nucleotides) under uncultured prokaryote. RNAcentral describes it as "partial 16S ribosomal RNA". It matches the Rfam family "Bacterial small subunit ribosomal RNA", at positions 525 to 777 of the family's 1533-position model. The record is from RNAcentral.
ACGGAGGGUGCAAGCGUUAAUCGGAAUUACUGGGCGUAAAGCGCACGCAGGCGGUCUGUCAAGUCGGAUGUGAAAUCCCCGGGCUCAACCUGGGAACUGCAUUCGAAACUGGCAGGCUAGAGUCUUGUAGAGGGGGGUAGAAUUCCAGGUGUAGCGGUGAAAUGCGUAGAGAUGUGGAGGAAUACCGAUGGCGAAGGCAGCCCCCUGGGAUGAUACUGACGCUCAUGCACGAAAGCGUGGGGAGCAAACAGGA